RNAcentral lists this ribosomal RNA (212 nucleotides) under uncultured Streptococcus sp. Its description in RNAcentral is "partial 16S ribosomal RNA". It matches the Rfam family "Bacterial small subunit ribosomal RNA", at positions 1168 to 1382 of the family's 1533-position model. Lineage: Bacteria; Bacillati; Bacillota; Bacilli; Lactobacillales; Streptococcaceae. The record is from RNAcentral.
GGAAGUGGGAUGACGUCAAAUCAUCAUGCCCCUUAUGUCUGGGCUACACACGUGCUACAAUGGUUGGUACAACGAGUUGCGAGUCGGUGACGGCGAGCUAAUCUCUUAAAGCCAAUCUCAGUUCGGAUUGUAGGCUGCAACUCGCCUACAUGAAGUCGGAAUCGCUAGUAAUCGCGGAUCAGCACGCCGCGGUGAAUACGUUCCCGGGCCUU